AGCGCGAGAACCUGUCUCGGGAUUUAAAACAAAGCAAAGCAAAGCAAAGCAAAACAAAAGCAACAACCCACGGAGGUGUGGGGACUUAGCUCAGGGCGAAGGCCCUGGGUUCCAGCCCCAGUACCGACACAGGGAGCGUAGAGAGGACUCCAACCUGCCCUGAUUUGCUAUCUGGUUCAGAGACAAAACGAGAUGGACAGGUCUCAGUACAGUUGGGCUACGCUUUGUUGCUGCUGCUGUUUUCCUCUUUUAUUUUCAGUACUGAAGACGGAACCCGGGAUCUUGGCCCAGAGCUGUAUCACCCACUGUUUCUUUUUUGACUUUGAGAUUCUUGUUGGCCAGACUGUGUUCCAACUUUAUGUCUUGCUGCUUUAGUCUCUGAUUUGUACCUGGCUGAGCUUUUACUGGAUGCUCUGUCCUCAGAACCCAGCUAAUGCCAGCCUGUGCUGUUUGCUGAGGGGAUGACCUAGGGACUUGCAGUCCUAAGUCCUCCAUGUCCUGAGAUGCAAUUCUGGGGUGGCUGGAGCCAGGCGCUUGGAGCGAGGGGCUCACAAGGCGGCACCGUGGACCUGCCAGUUCUCCCGAUCAGCUGGAACUGCUGCCACAGCUCUCCCUCUGAGCUGCAGCCUCAGCCCUCUUCGGAACAGAGCCAAGGGCUCCGAGUGUGGGACCCCUGUCCCUGGGGCCUGGCUGAAUCGUCCUGCAGCCACUCUGUCCUCUGCCUGGCCUUGGCUGCUGGCCCAGUCACUUCCCCCCCAAAGGUCACGGCGCAGACGCCAGCACAGCUUGUGUCUCCGUGGGCCCAGAACCCCCUUCUCCCGCCCGGGGGGCAGCAGCACCCAGGCCUGUUCCAUCAGUGUCCUCAGCUUCACUGUGAUUUUCGCGAAUCCCUGUGUGCUGCACACCAGGACUGUGUCAUCGCCAUGGACAGCUGUGGCCAUGCUGGCAGUGGGCCUCUCAGGAGCUUCCUCUCCCUGAGCCUCUCCUACUCUCGGCCUCUGCCGUCCACAAGAGUUCACGCUUCCAUCCUGGGCACAGGAACUCGACACAGCUGACAUGGGUGGGAGCUGUUUCUCCUCCAUCACAGCUGCCAUCCUGCUGAGUGGGGGGCCCGUCCUCCGAGCUCCGGGAGGGCCCCGCGUGUCGCGGGUCACAUGGGGAUGUGCCCAUGUUCCCUCACCUGCUGUGGCUCCCGGUGCCUCCUGCAGCCUGGUCAACCCAUCCGGCCUCCUGGAGAGAACCGUGCCCUCCAUCCUCGGCCACUUGACAGCUGGCCUGGUUGACAGGGUCACUCCCUUUCCUCCUCAAACCCUCUUUCCUUACCCCCUGGCCUUGCAGUUUCCUGGUUUAUUUAUGUAUUUAUUGGUGGUGUUGUUUUGAGACAGGUCUUGCUAUAUAGUCCAGGGUGGCUUUCAACUUGCUAUGUAGCCCAGGUUGGCCUUGAAUUUGUGAUGAUCCUCCUGCCUCAGCCUCCUGAGUGCUGGGAUGACAGGGGUGGGCUACCAUGCCUGGCUUUCAAUAAUAUCAGUCCCCAACCUGAGACUGUACCCUGGGCCAUAGAAAGGCUUCAGAAGGCCAAGGCACCUGGACGAGUUCAUCCAGAGCGCCCCACUGUACCCGAAACUGGCAGUGACAGGAUCGCCACCAGGAGGCAGUGUCAGGCUUGCCUCUGUUGGGUGGGGCUUUGGUCUAGAGUUUAGGAAAGGGGCAGGGCAGCUGUGGAACUCUUGCCCACCUUCCCCACUCCUUCUGAGAGGUGGGUUGUGUUUUCUUUAUUUCCUUCAGGAGGGAACAGAAUUGAGCCAGGCCUGGUGGGGCACACCUGUAGUCUCAGCACUGGAAGGCUGAGGCAGGAGGAUCACAAUGAGUUUGAGGCCAGAGUGGACUACAUACUGAGUUCAAGGCCAGCGUGAACUACACAGCAAGACCUUUUCUCACCCCUCCCAAAAGAAGCUGGGAUUUGAACCCUGAUCCUUGGGACUCCCCGCGGGCAGCUGCUUCCUCUGUUCCCACCUCCUCUGGCUCCCUCUGCUUCCUCCACUCCUGGCCUGGACCUGAAUCUGGGUGGGAGGCUGGGGCUACAGAGCCAGGGUCCUGGGCCUCCCUAGCUGAGCCACCUCCAACCCCUCUCACCCCAGAUCAAGCACGCAGAGAUGCGUUCUGGGGGGCCUGAGUCCCAUCACCUGCCCAGGAAGUUAUGCCCCCUAGGGUUCAGGGGGACAGGGCUACCCAUGGUUCUCAGCCCAAGGCAGGGCCCUGUCCCCUGUCAGGACCCCAGAGAGCCCCAACUCUCGGAAGCUCCCACCUCAGCCAUCCCUCGGCCUGGGACAUUGGCCUGAUUCCUGUCACCUAAACCCUGGCUCUGAUUGACACCUUUUCCAUUUUUUCAGUAUUUACUUAUUUGGGGGACUUUUUGGAUGCAGGUCUCAAUGUGUAGCCCAUGCUGACCUAGAACCUACAUCGAUCCUCCUGCCUCAGCCUCCUGAGUGCCAGGACUACAGGCAGGCACCCUGAGCUGGGCACUGACAGCUUUCUGAGAGGCCCUGAGCACCGCCCGCUGGGCUCUCUGGCUGCAUCACCGCUUGGAUUCCUCCUUCACACAGUGCAGCUCCUGCUCAGAACUGCAUAGUCCCGAGGUGGCCGAGUGCUCUUCUGGUCUCGGUCUGUGCUCUGCAGGAAGGACGAGGUUCCUGCCGGGACCUGGGGCGGCAGAGCAGCCCAGAACUGUCCUGAUGGUGGGACAGUGGUCACCUGCAGGGGGGUAGUGACGGGGUCCCCGGGUCAAGGAGACAGGGACGGGGAGGCCAGGACUGGCGCCUGGGGACAGCCUGGCUUGGCCCCACCUCCGGUCCAUUUGUCCCUCACCACCUUGCUGGCCACCUUGAAAGCCAGAGGUGGGGUGACUUCAGUCCCCCCAGCUCUGGUUCCUUUAUCAGAUAAACGACAGUUUCUACCUGGGGUGUGAACCCCAGGAGCGGUCACGGGGAGACCUCAAAGCAGCUCCAGCAAGCAGGAGAAACCAGACAGCCCACACGUUUUCGGUUUCACAGUCUCUGUAACUUUGGUUUGAAGCCAAGCUAGUCCAUUUAGCAAGGCAACCUUGGACAAUUACCUAACUUCUCUGAGCUUGUUUCUUUGUUUUUGUUGCUGUUGUUUCUUUCUUUCUUUUUUGGUACCAGGGAUAGAACUUGGGUCCCUGAGCUUGCAAGGCAGGCGCCAGAACCACCGAGCUAAAUCCCCGACCCAUUUCUUAUUUUUAUUAUUUACUUAUCGCAGUACUAGGAAUUGAACCCAGGGCCUUUCCACUGAGCUACAUCCCCAGCUCAUUUUUCAUUUUGAGACAAGGUCUCACUAAAUUGCCCAGGCUGGGCUUGAAUUUGAGAUCCUCUUGCCUCAGCCUCCCAGAGUACUGGGAUCACACAUGUGCACCACUAUGAUGAACCAGUUUUGUUUUUUUUUUUUUCAGAUUAACCAUACUCAUGCCACAGGCUUGAGUUGUGGAUCUAAAAGGGAAAAAUACUCCAGUGUGAUGGCACAUGCUGGUAAUCCCAGCACUUGGGAGGCUGAGGCAGGAAGAUCGCUACAACUCCAAGGCCAGUGUGGACUGGCAUAGAAAGACUGUCUCAGGAGUAGAGAGGAAAAUGUGAACCCUUAACAGGGUGUCCCUUCCCCUAACCUCGCAGCCCUCAUUCACAAACGCAUUUGCUGCGGUCAAGGCAGGGAGCCCGUGGCAGGUCCGACAGAGUCGGGUCCUUCCGGUCUCACAGUCCGGUGCGAGCUCCCCUGGCAGGACGGCUCUCAUCCCUGUGCUCGGACCGCAGGGCGCGGGGGCCGAGGCCUCUGAUGCAGUUCCUGGAGGGCGGGCUG
Molecule: long non-coding RNA, 3867 nt
Filed under: Fukomys damarensis (Damara mole-rat)
Lineage: Eukaryota; Metazoa; Chordata; Mammalia; Rodentia; Bathyergidae
Description: lncRNA (ENSFDAG00000027562.1)
Source: RNAcentral